UUUCUGAAAUCUACUAGCCAUGCCUGCCACAGAUGACAGAACGUGGGUCUGAAAGUCAGGGAAACAGCCGACCUAGUUUAGUAGUCCUACUUGGUGAGAAGUGAGAGAAUAUGCAUUAUCCACCGUCGAAUGUCAAAGCAUGGUAUAAGAGUCUCUGACUUGAAUAAUUCCACUGACAUCGCAACGUUGGAUGCUCGGUGAUUACAGGGAUCCCAGGAUCUCAUCCAAAUUCUGGGUUCAGAAUGAUGGAAGGACGUCUCAGGUUCCGACGUACAAAGGUUCAGAGACUUCGUGUGCAAGAAUCCAUGCCACGUCUGGAUCCACCGGGAAUUGUCCGCACACUACAACUACAAACUGUUCGGCAUAGAUGAUAUUCUGUGCCAGCCCCCAACAGUCAAAGGCAUAGCGAUGGCAACCAUAAAGUCAUAAAUUAAAGCUCUAUAUUGGGGGACUCGGAAGGAAGUACAAAAAUAAAUUAAGACCAUAUUUUUUUCACCCAUUUUGGAACGAUAAACCCAUAUACAGUAUAAUAUAGACCAUUUUAAAUUAAGUUUAAAUAUUUCAUGCUUUUAUUAUUUAUUACGCGCUAGGAAUCUAAUUCAUUUAGAUUUGGAGUGCUUUCGCUGCCAGCCUCUCCCAGUCAAAAAUUGAUUGGAUGUCAAGCGCUGUCAAUGGCAGCCAAUGAGUUAAAUGUUGAUGUUUAUGGCUUGCAAAAAUAAGAAACCCUAAAAUUUUAUGUCUCAGAAUUACGAAAAAAAAAAAAUUCUGGGCCCUGCAACACAUUGUCUGUUAUUGCAGAAAUGUUGGUAUGGUUUUAGUUGCCACUUCUGGGAGAUGAUUGGAUGAAAUUUUACCCAUCAAAAUCAAAUUAUGAGGUGUGGCACGCCCUCUUUGCUUAUUGGCUCUUUGAAAAUGGCUUAACAAGUUCAACUUCAAAAGGGAUAAUGUAAAGUGCACAUUUCUAAUCAAAAACAUUCAUUCAUUCAUUCAUUUUCCAUGCCGCUUUUCCUCACGAGGGUCGCGGAGGUGCUGGAGCCUAUCCCAGCUAACUCGGGGCAGUAGGCAGGGGACACCCUGAACUGGUUGCCAGCCAAUUGCAGGGCACAAGGAGACAUACAACCAUUCACGCGCACACUCAUACCUACGGACAAUUUAGAGUGUUCAGUCAGCCUACCAUGCAUGUUUUUGGGAUGUGGGAGGAAACCGGAGUUCCCGGAGGAAACACACGCAGGCACGGGGAGAACAUGCAAACUCCACACAGGAAGGCCGAAGCCCGGGAUUGAACCCUUGAUCUUAGAACUGUGAGGCAGACGUGCUAACCACUCAGCCACCGUGCCGCUUAAUCAAAAACAUAACAUUAAAAAAAAAAAACAAUAAAAGCAUGAAAUAUCCCUGACCAAAAAAGUUAAAUAAAAUUAUAUAAAUGUGAACACUUUCACAGUCUAGGGCUAUGCACAUACAGAUGAGGCUAAUCAAUAACUAAAUUUGCCAUAUACGAUGUGUGCAUGUUUAGUUAUAUUUUAGGACUAGUUGGUUCAACUUUAAAUUACAUAUUUGCAGUUUUAUGUGAUGGUCCACAUGGUCAUCCCCCAUGUCGAUGUCAGUCCCAG
Molecule: long non-coding RNA, 1610 nt
Organism: Corythoichthys intestinalis (scribbled pipefish)
Lineage: Eukaryota; Metazoa; Chordata; Actinopteri; Syngnathiformes; Syngnathidae
Exons: 3
Source: RefSeq, a predicted model, not a curated record